Pezoporus flaviventris is the source of this 331-nucleotide long non-coding RNA. RefSeq lists it as uncharacterized. Lineage: Eukaryota; Metazoa; Chordata; Aves; Psittaciformes; Psittacidae. The record is from RefSeq and is a predicted model, not a curated record. The transcript has 3 exons.
GGAGGAAAGAGCACAACUUGUUUUCAUAGUGAAGUGCUUCACUCUACGCAAGAAAAUAUUUCCUGGCAAAAACUUAAUUUUGUUUGGUUAGUCUUUCUAGCUCAGCACAGGAAGCGUCACACCUGCUUCAACUGAAUGGACUUUCAGAAACAUCUACAGUCUUCUGUUUUGGAUCAGCAAAGGACAUUUGAGUCUCCUGAUCUCCUUCAGUCAGGAAAGUGGUGUUGAGUUGGUGGAGAAAUACACAGGGGUUGUGAAAAAAGGGAGAAUCCCUUCAUGUGGAGGAAGAGAAGACCCCAGAAAGAAAUCAGUUCCUGCAUUAGUACCUCCA